AGAGAGAGGAAAACCACUUUCUCGUUAAAGUCUUUGCCUUGCUUCACAAGUUUGAAGCUUUCCACUACAGAGAGACCCUGAUUCAGUUUACCAGUAAAAGAGAAGAAGCAAAUGUGUGUGAGAAUUGGUGAUUAGGGUCUCACCUCCACUUACAUUGUAUUCUAGCACCUUCAACGAAAGAAAGGGGGUUGACUUGAGAUCCACCAAUAAAGAAGAAAAAUAAAGCUCCUCACUUUGUAUAGAGAAGACGGCAAAGAACUCACUUGAAAUUGCAGAGAUCCCGACGACAUGCUUCAGGUCUGUUUUGGUUUGUAGCCGAUUAAAAAAGCUUUCGAAGACUGAGUGAGAUGGGCUUCGGAUUGGGCUUAUGUAUUGGGCC
Molecule: long non-coding RNA, 379 nt
Organism: Arabidopsis thaliana (thale cress)
Lineage: Eukaryota; Viridiplantae; Streptophyta; Magnoliopsida; Brassicales; Brassicaceae
Product: other RNA
Exons: 1
Source: RefSeq